This 345-nucleotide long non-coding RNA is filed under the name Lathyrus oleraceus (garden pea). RNAcentral's name for it is "Pisum sativum (pea) long non-coding RNA (PSAT_LNC027720)". Lineage: Eukaryota; Viridiplantae; Streptophyta; Magnoliopsida; Fabales; Fabaceae. The record is from RNAcentral.
AACAACACAGCCGAAACCGCCACCACCACAACAACAACACAGCCGGAACCGCCACCACAUCAUUACCGUACACAAUACUACAUUAGAGCGAUCGGAUGUGUCGUGUAAUAUAUUCUCCUUAUCUUUUCUUUUACUUGCUUGGAGCUUAGAAAAUGAAUAAAUGUGAUUUGUAUGUUUGAUUUUUUUUUUUUUGGAUUUUGUGUUGUGCAUGAUAAGGAGAGAGAGUUGAAACUUGAAGUUUUUGAUUUGUUCUUUCUUCUGUAACAACACAAAAGAGAAGAGGUUAAAAAAAUUGUUUUCAUUUUUUUUAUUUCCUUGCCAUGUGUCGAGGGGCCACUGACCCAG